AACGAACGCUGGCGGCAGGCUUAACACAUGCAAGUCGAACGGGCGUAGCAAUACGUCAGUGGCGGACGGGUGAGUAACACGUGGGAAUAUGCCUUUCGGUUCGGAACAACUCGGGGAAACCCGUGCUAAUUCCGGAUACGCCCUUACGGGGAAGAUUUAUCGCCGAAAGAUUAGCCCGCGUUGGAUUAGCUAGUUGGUGAGGUAAAGGCUCACCAAGGCGACGAUCCAUAGCUGGUUUGAGAGAACGACCAGCCACACUGGGACUGAGACACGGCCCAGACUCCUACGGGAGGCAGCAGUGGGGAAUCUUGGACAAUGGGCGCAAGCCUGAUCCAGCCAUGCCGCGUGAGUGAUGAAGGCCUUCGGUU
Molecule: ribosomal RNA, 368 nt
Filed under: uncultured bacterium
Lineage: Bacteria
Description: bacterial SSU rRNA
Rfam family: Bacterial small subunit ribosomal RNA
Source: RNAcentral